RNAcentral lists this ribosomal RNA (405 nucleotides) under Salmonella enterica. Its description in RNAcentral is "bacterial SSU rRNA". It matches the Rfam family "Bacterial small subunit ribosomal RNA", at positions 372 to 769 of the family's 1533-position model. The record is from RNAcentral. Lineage: Bacteria; Pseudomonadati; Pseudomonadota; Gammaproteobacteria; Enterobacterales; Enterobacteriaceae.
UGGACGCAAGUCUGAUGGAGCAACGCCGCGUGAGUGAAGAAGGUUUUCGGAUCGUAAAGCUCUGUUGUUGGUGAAGAAGGAUAGAGGUAGUAACUGGCCUUUAUUUGACGGUAAUCAACCAGAAAGUCACGGCUAACUACGUGCCAGCAGCCGCGGUAAUACGUAGGUGGCAAGCGUUGUCCGGAUUUAUUGGGCGUAAAGCGAGCGCAGGCGGAAGAAUAAGUCUGAUGUGAAAGCCCUCGGCUUAACCGAGGAACUGCAUCGGAAACUGUUUUUCUUGAGUGCAGAAGAGGAGAGUGGAACUCCAUGUGUAGCGGUGGAAUGCGUAGAUAUAUGGAAGAACACCAGUGGCGAAGGCGACUCUCUGGUCUGCAACUGACGCUGAGGCUCGAAAGCAUGGGUAGC